AUUGAACGCUGGCGGCAGGCUUAACACAUGCAAGUCGAACGGUAACAUAAAGAAGCUUGCUUCUUUGAUGACGAGUGGCGGACGGGUGAGUAAUGCUUGGGAAUCUAGCUUAUGGAGGGGGAUAACUACGGGAAACUGUAGCUAAUACCGCGUAAUAUCGGAAGAUUAAAGUGUGGGACCUUCGGGCCACAUGCCAUAGGAUGAGCCCAAGUGGGAUUAGGUAGUUGGUGAGGUAAAGGCUCACCAAGCCGACGAUCUCUAGCUGGUCUGAGAGGAUGACCAGCCACACUGGGACUGAGACACGGCCCAGACUCCUACGGGAGGCAGCAGUGGGGAAUAUUGCGCAAUGGGGGCAACCCUGACGCAGCCAUGCCGCGUGAAUGAAGAAGGCCUUCGGGUUGUAAAGUUCUUUCGGUAGCGAGGAAGGCAUUUAGUUUAAUAGACUAGGUGAUUGACGUUAACU
RNAcentral lists this ribosomal RNA (463 nucleotides) under uncultured bacterium. RNAcentral's name for it is "bacterial SSU rRNA". It matches the Rfam family "Bacterial small subunit ribosomal RNA", at positions 30 to 480 of the family's 1533-position model. The record is from RNAcentral.